UUGACCUCGGAUCAGGUAGGGAUCCCGCUGACUAAGGCA
RNAcentral lists this ribosomal RNA (39 nucleotides) under Parmelina tiliacea. Its description in RNAcentral is "partial 28S ribosomal RNA". The record is from RNAcentral. Lineage: Eukaryota; Fungi; Ascomycota; Lecanoromycetes; Lecanorales; Parmeliaceae.